This 245-nucleotide ribosomal RNA is filed under the name uncultured bacterium. RNAcentral's name for it is "partial 16S ribosomal RNA". It matches the Rfam family "Bacterial small subunit ribosomal RNA", at positions 524 to 768 of the family's 1533-position model. The record is from RNAcentral.
AACGUAGGAGGCGAGCGUUAUCCGGAUUUACUGGGCGUAAAGCGCACGCAGGCGGUUGUGCAAGUUGGGCGUGAAAUCUCUCGGCUUAACCGGGAGGGGUCGUCCAAUACUGUGCGACUUGGGUGCAGGAGAGGGAAGCGGAAUUUCCAGUGUAGCGGUAAUAUGCGCAGAUAUUGGAAAGAACACCAGUGGCGAAGGCGGCUUCCUGGUCUGUAACCGACGCUCAAGUGCGAAAGCUAGGGGAG